UACGGAGGAUGCGAGCGUUAUCCGGAUUUAUUGGGUUUAAAGGGUGCGCAGGCGGUCUGUUAAGUCAGCGGUCAAAGCCCGGGGCUCAACCCUGGCCCGCCGUUGAAACUGGCAGUCUCGAGUUGGAGAGAAGUAUGCGGAAUGCGCGGUGUAGCGGUGAAAUGCAUAGAUAUCGCGCAGAGCUCCGAUUGCGAAGGCAGCAUGCCGGCUCCACACUGACGCUGAGGCACGAAAGCGUGGGUAUCGAACAGG
RNAcentral lists this ribosomal RNA (252 nucleotides) under uncultured bacterium. RNAcentral describes it as "partial 16S ribosomal RNA". It matches the Rfam family "Bacterial small subunit ribosomal RNA", at positions 524 to 776 of the family's 1533-position model. The record is from RNAcentral.